GAAAUGCGAUAAGUAAUGUGAAUUGCAGAAUUCAGUGAAUCAUCGAAUCUUUGAACGCACAUUGCGCCCCGUGGUAUUCCGCGGGGCAUGCCUGUUCGAGCGUCAUUUCACCACUCAAGCCUAGCUUGGUAUUGGGCGCCGCGGCGAUCUCCAUCGCUGCGCGCCUUAAAGUCUCCGGCUGAGCAGUCUGUCUCCGAGCGUUGUGACACAUGUCGCUAGGGAGUGCAGGUCUGCCGCGGCCGUUAAAUCUUUAUUCAAGGUUGACCUCGGAUCAGGUAGGGAUACCCGCUGAACUUAA
RNAcentral lists this unclassified non-coding RNA (298 nucleotides) under uncultured Mycosphaerellaceae. Its description in RNAcentral is "sequence contains ITS1". The stretch from base 1 to 105 matches the Rfam family "5.8S ribosomal RNA", at positions 50 to 154 of the family's 154-position model. The record is from RNAcentral. Lineage: Eukaryota; Fungi; Ascomycota; Dothideomycetes; Mycosphaerellales; Mycosphaerellaceae.